This is an RNA transcript of Dermacentor albipictus, 1791 nucleotides long. RefSeq lists it as uncharacterized. Lineage: Eukaryota; Metazoa; Arthropoda; Arachnida; Ixodida; Ixodidae. The record is from RefSeq and is a predicted model, not a curated record.
CAUGUUCUAAGCAUAGAACAUGUGCGUUUGAAGGCAUAAUUUUUUUUUUCCUUGUAGCUGUACAGAGGGAAGGCUCCUUGAUAAAUUGCAUCGGCGCCGCAAAAUCGAAGCAACAAGUCAAAUUUAAAAUGUAUAUAUGCUUUCUUUUCACCGCGUUACCAUUUUUAUGACUACCGCGGCUUCGCAAUGACGCAGCGUCUAUUCUUGAGAGCGGCGACCAUCGCCGACUCGUCUGCUCUGGCCGUGACGCAGCGUCUUUUUGAUGAGCGAGAUAGCGCAGCAGACGGCGGCGGCGUGCAUUCUAUGCUGUGUACUAGACAGUCUCGCUGUAGGAACAGCGUUGGGACGCUCCGUUUGUCGUCUGGAGAACUACGAAAAAAAAAUUCCGUCUAUUCUUGAGAGCGGUGACCAUCGCCGAGUCGUCUGCUCUGGCCGUGACGCAGCGUCUUUUUGAUGAUCGAGAUAGCGAAGCAGACGGCGGCGGCCGCGGCGUGCAGUCUAUGCUGUGUUCUAGACAGUCUCGCUGUAGGAACAGCGUUGGGACGCUCCGUUUGUCGUCUGGAGAACUACGAAAAAAAUGUCCGUGCCUCGCCGUGUGUCUGGGAAGAAUUGAAGUACGAGCGAACGUAGCAGCCGUUUCGUCUGCUGUGCCCGGUGUUGCAGAAUGCCCCAGAAGUUUUUUCCGAAUGUCAAAGACCGACAGGGGCAAGAUCGAACGGACAACGCAACGAAACGGCAACAACAAAUGGCUGUUCUGGGAGUGUUCGCCCGACCCUGCGGUCCUUCGCCGCCGGUACCUCCCCGCACGUGGCAUGGGGCCGUGGUCGGAGCGCCGGACCUCUCGAUUGCCUCGUCAAAAUUUCACUCGGAUUUUGUUACAAACUGAGCCAUGGGAGAAAGCCAUCCUUGAAACACCUCAACAUUCUGCAGACAUACUUCCCCACAUGUCUUCAGGGCACAGUGGUGAAACGAAUCAAGGGAAGCACCCCCUUUUCCCUGGCCGUCCAGUUCAAAUCCUGUGGUCACACAGUUUCCAUUCCUGGUCCCUGCAGCCGCAUUCCGAUGGAGGUGUAAUUGGAGCCCUUGCCUAGGUGAAGACUUGGCCGCUGUCCCCGCAUGCUGCCUCCAACACGUUGACAGGCUGCCCCGGGUAGCCCUGCUCUCCUCUCAAGGUUGCGGGGGCUGACAAGGAGGCUGACGCCCUGGCAAAGGGCGUCACUGUACCACGCCACUGUGCCAGUCAGCACCACUGUAACGGCCUUCGACAGUGCAAAUCACAUGUUGCAACGGCGCUCCAUCCGGAUCGACGUGUCGCCAGUGGUCGACCCCCUCUCCAGUGCCUCCUGUUCGCGGCCUCACAAGGCAGGAGCGGACUCUACUGCUGCGCCUCCGAAUCGGCUGCAAAGGUGAUUGUUCACUGACCUCCAGCGGAGCGGAGAACACACCCUGCCCCAUCGUCCAGGCCCCUUCCACAACAAAAGGAACCUGCAGUGACACGUCAACCGGCUGACACUCGGUACACUGUGAUGUCAAAGUGAGAAUGCAGUCAUCACUACACACUUUGCUGUCUGGACCGUCACCAUCUGCAGUUGUUCUGGCAAACUGCAGGCUCUGGUGCGGCACUAGAUGGACAGUUGCAAGUUCUUAAAGAACAAGGACCACUGGACCCCGGGGGCAGUCAUACAUGGACGUCGUCCCACCAGCGAACUCGACCAUGGCGAGCUGCUCGAGCGUCCAGCGCAGUGGUGACACCCAUUGUAGCCACGAGGUCACCAGCGACAGGUCCAUGAG